Molecule: ribosomal RNA, 254 nt
Filed under: uncultured bacterium
Lineage: Bacteria
Description: partial 16S ribosomal RNA
Rfam family: Bacterial small subunit ribosomal RNA
Source: RNAcentral
UACGUAGGGGGCAAGCGUUGUCCGGAUUUACUGGGCGUAAAGUGCGUGUAGGCGGCCACGCAGGUCCGUUGUGAAAACUGGAGGCUCAACUUCCAGACGUCGACGGAAACCGUGUGGCUAGAGUCCGGAAGAGGAGAGUGGAAUUUCUGGUGUAGCGGUGAAAUGCGCAGAUAUCAGGAAGAACACCAAUGGCGAAGGCAGCUCUCUGGGACGGUACUGACGCUGAGACGCGAAAGCGUGGGGAGCGAACAGGG